CCCUGGGAAGGAAAGCGUGGAUGAAACGGCGGGGCCUGAUCUUACCUGAAUGGGUGUGAAUUCACAUCAACCAGCAUUUCACACAUGGAAAGCUAGAGGCGGAGUACUGGAGAACGGUAGUGGUGUGCUUGAUGACCUGUUUUUGCACUAAGUGGUUCUGCUAAUGUUGGAGCCUGUGAUCUACAUUUCGGUGAUAUGUUUUCAGGACAAUUGAGCAAUGUGGUACUUUAUGUCUCUGAAGAUGUCCUGUGAGGUAUGCGGCCUGGAGACGGGGUGCAAGCCCAUGAUCAACUCCAUUUCUCACCGAUCUCGCUGAUUAAAGCAUCGAGGCAGCUACAUACACUGCGGUUUUAAUGUUUCGAUCUCCUGCCAUGCUUCAGUCGGUGUCACCGGUGUGGAAUCAGUUCGUUCGCAGGGCUGCACCCUGAAGAUGCCCAAUUCCAGGCUGCUUCUGGGCACAUCAAAGACACCAGGCCGUUCAACAAGUUCUAAGAGCAGGAACUCAGUUUGAAUGCAGCUGUGGAUCACGGACUCCAACAGAACCCUAUCCACCUUGAAAAGGAAAGAAGAGACAUUAGAGAGAAAAAAUUUAAAUUGUGUUUUGCAGAUGGACUGAGAGAAGACAGCCUCUGGCACCAUCUUUAGCUCCUCCCACAUAUUGUUAUAAUUGAAACGGUUCUACAUAAUUCACAAAUACUGUCAUUGAGCUGUUCUGUCCACUUUAUGAAAUGGUCUCUGAUGUAACAAUGUCAGUGUAAGGUGAUUGCUUUUGGUUUGUUCAUAAUGGAAGUAAA
Long non-coding RNA from Hypanus sabinus (Atlantic stingray), 794 nucleotides. RefSeq lists it as uncharacterized. The record is from RefSeq and is a predicted model, not a curated record. Lineage: Eukaryota; Metazoa; Chordata; Chondrichthyes; Myliobatiformes; Dasyatidae. The transcript has 3 exons.